UAGCUCAGUUGGUAGAGCAUGGCACUUGUAAUGCCAGGGUUGUGGGUUUGAUUCCUGG
Non-coding RNA from Salmo salar (Atlantic salmon), 58 nucleotides. NCBI's taxonomy places the organism in Eukaryota, Metazoa, Chordata, Actinopteri, Salmoniformes, Salmonidae. The record is from Rfam.